Molecule: ribosomal RNA, 253 nt
Filed under: uncultured bacterium
Lineage: Bacteria
Description: partial 16S ribosomal RNA
Rfam family: Bacterial small subunit ribosomal RNA
Source: RNAcentral
UACGAAGGGGGCCAGCGUUGUUCGGAAUUACUGGGCGUAAAGCGCGCGUAGGCGGCUUUGUAAGUUAGAGGUGAAAGCCCGGAGCUCAACUCCGGAACUGCCUUUAAGACUGCAUCGCUAGAAUUGUGGAGAGGUGAGUGGAAUUCCGAGUGUAGAGGUGAAAUUCGUAGAUAUUCGGAAGAACACCAGUGGCGAAGGCGACUCACUGGACACAUAUUGACGCUGAGGUGCGAAAGCGUGGGGAGCAAACAGG